UACGGAGGGGGCUAGCGUUGUUCGGAAUUACUGGGCGUAAAGCGCACGUAGGCGGAUAUUUAAGUCAGGGGUGAAAUCCCGGGGCUCAACCCCGGAGCUGCCUUUGAUACUGGGUAUCUGGAGGUCGAGAGAGGCGAGUGGAAUUCCGAGUGUAGAGGUGAAAUUCGUAGAUAUUCGGAGGAACACCAGUGGCGAAGGCGGCUCGCUGGCUCGAUACUGACGCUGAGGUGCGAAAGCGUGGGGAGCAAACAGG
RNAcentral lists this ribosomal RNA (253 nucleotides) under uncultured bacterium. RNAcentral's name for it is "partial 16S ribosomal RNA". It matches the Rfam family "Bacterial small subunit ribosomal RNA", at positions 524 to 776 of the family's 1533-position model. The record is from RNAcentral.